Humulus lupulus (European hop) is the source of this 119-nucleotide long non-coding RNA. RefSeq lists it as uncharacterized. The record is from RefSeq and is a predicted model, not a curated record. The transcript has 2 exons. Lineage: Eukaryota; Viridiplantae; Streptophyta; Magnoliopsida; Rosales; Cannabaceae.
UGCAGAGCUAACCAAGCUUGCUUCAACAAAAAGAAUAGCACCCGGUGAUUUCUCAGAAAUCUGUCGGACACUAAAAAAGCUCAUAACAGAUGUUAAUAUCGCUGUAGCAGUCGAGGAAA